GGAGGGGUGGCUGAGUGGUUGAAGGCACUCGACUCGAAAUCGAGAGACCGCCCUUAAAGCGGUUCGUGGGUUCAAAUCCCACCCCCUCCGCCA
RNAcentral lists this transfer RNA (93 nucleotides) under Kiritimatiellia bacterium. RNAcentral describes it as "Kiritimatiellae bacterium tRNA-Ser". It matches the Rfam family "tRNA". From Rfam's summary of the family: Transfer RNA (tRNA) molecules are approximately 80 nucleotides in length. Lineage: Bacteria; Pseudomonadati; Kiritimatiellota; Kiritimatiellia. The record is from RNAcentral.